UUUCCCGCUGGCGGCAUGCUUUACACAUGCAAGUCGAACGGCAGCGCGGGCUUCGGCCUGGCGGCGAGUGGCGAACGGGUGAGUAAUACAUCGGAACGUGCCCAGUAGUGGGGGAUAGCUCGGCGAAAGCCGGAUUAAUACCGCAUACGACCUGAGGGUGAAAGCGGGGGAUCUUCGGACCUCGCGCUAUUGGAGCGGCCGAUGGCAGAUUAGCUAGUUGGUGGGGUAAAGGCCUACCAAGGCGACGAUCUGUAGCUGGUCUGAGAGGACGACCAGCCACACUGGGACUGAGACACGGCCCAGACUCCUACGGGAGGCAGCAGUGGGGAAUUUUGGACAAUGGGCGAAAGCCUGAUCCAGCAAUGCCGCGUGUGUGAUGAAGGCCUUCGGGUUGUAAAGCACUUUUGGCGGGAACGAAAAGGACUGUGCCAAUACCACGGUUCGAUGACGGUACCCGCAGAAUAAGCACCGGCUAACUACGUG
RNAcentral lists this ribosomal RNA (483 nucleotides) under uncultured bacterium. RNAcentral describes it as "partial 16S ribosomal RNA". It matches the Rfam family "Bacterial small subunit ribosomal RNA", at positions 34 to 507 of the family's 1533-position model. The record is from RNAcentral.